UAUUCUUGGGGCUGCACUCCUUCACCACUUGCCCUGUCAUGAUCUGCACAUGGCUGGCCAUCCAAGGGAGAGUAAAUUGUGUAACGCAAAUCUUUGACAAUCUUACCCAUAGAUUUUAGUUUCCUCAUCUGCCACUGUACAAAAGAAUCAAAGUAUGGGUUUAUAUCUGUGGUAACAAAUGUGCGUCUCCAGUCACAGCCCAAGCCAAAAGCCUUAAGAUCUUCCAUAGCUAAUGGAGGAAAGAACCUCAGCCAUUCGUAUGGAUCCUGGAACUUUGAUAUCUCACUAUCAGAAAGCCCAAAACUGCGCAUGAUUUCCCACUGGAACAUUUGUCCCCCUGAUUUCGAUGCUGCCUUGGACUUUUUGCCCUUGAA
RNAcentral lists this unclassified non-coding RNA (374 nucleotides) under Hevea brasiliensis (rubber tree). The record is from RNAcentral. Lineage: Eukaryota; Viridiplantae; Streptophyta; Magnoliopsida; Malpighiales; Euphorbiaceae.